Molecule: unclassified non-coding RNA, 827 nt
Filed under: Gibellulopsis nigrescens
Lineage: Eukaryota; Fungi; Ascomycota; Sordariomycetes; Glomerellales; Plectosphaerellaceae
Description: sequence contains 28S rRNA gene
Rfam family: Eukaryotic large subunit ribosomal RNA
Source: RNAcentral
GCGGAGGAAAAGAAACCAACAGGGAUUGCCUCAGUAACGGCGAGUGAAGCGGCAACAGCUCAAAUUUGAAAUCUGGCUCCUUCGGGGCCCGAGUUGUAAUUUGCAGAGGAUGCUUCGGGUACGGGUUCCUUCCGAGUUCCCUGGAACGGGACGCCAUAGAGGGUGAGAGCCCCGUCUGGUAGGACACCCAGCCCGUGUGAAGCUCCCUCGACGAGUCGAGUAGUUUGGGAAUGCUGCUCUAACGGGAGGUAUACUCCUUCCAAGGCUAAAUACCGGCUGGAGACCGAUAGCGCACAAGUAGAGUGAUCGAAAGAUGAAAAGCACUUUGAAAAGAGAGUCAAAUAGCACGUGAAAUUGUUGAAAGGGAAGCGCUCGCUACCAGACAUGGGUUCGGCGGUUCAACCGGGGCCACGCCCCGGGGCACUCCGCCGGCCCAGGCCAGCAUCAGCUUUCCGUCGGGGGCAAAGACGUCGGGAAUGUGGCUCCCCUCCGGGGGAGUGUUAUAGCCCGGCGUGUCAUACCCUUCGGGGGGCUGAGGUACGCGCUUCUGCAAGGAUGCUGGCGUAAUGGUAGCUAGUGACCCGUCUUGAAACACGGACCAAGGAGUCAACCUUAUGUGCGAGUGCCCGGGCGUAAAACCCCAGCGCGGAAUGAAAGUGAACGUAGGUGAGAGCUUCGGCGCAUCACCGACCGAUCCUGAUGUCCUCGGACUGAUUUGAGUGAGAGCAUAUAGGGUUGGACCCGAAAGAAGAUGAACUAUGCGUGUGUAGGGUGAAUCCAGAGGAAACUCUGGUGGAGGCUCGCAGCGGUUCUGACGUGCAAAUCGA